RNAcentral lists this ribosomal RNA (350 nucleotides) under uncultured bacterium. Its description in RNAcentral is "bacterial SSU rRNA". It matches the Rfam family "Bacterial small subunit ribosomal RNA", at positions 355 to 702 of the family's 1533-position model. The record is from RNAcentral.
UGAGGAAUAUUGGUCAAUGGAGGCAACUCUGAACCAGCCAUGCCGCGUGAAGGAUGACGGCCCUAUGGGUUGUAAACUUCUUUUAUAGAGGAAGAAACUUGUCUACGUGUAGACAACUGACGGUACUCUACGAAUAAGGAUCGGCUAACUCCGUGCCAGCAGCCGCGGUAAUACGGAGGAUCCAAGCGUUAUCCGGAUUCAUUGGGUUUAAAGGGUCCGUAGGCGGGUCUUUAAGUCAGUGGUGAAAGCCGACAGCUCAACUGUCGAACUGCCAUUGAUACUGGAGACCUUGAGUACAAAUGAAGUAGGCGGAAUGAGUCAUGUAGCGGUGAAAUGCAUAGAUAUGACUC